Molecule: ribosomal RNA, 408 nt
Filed under: uncultured bacterium
Lineage: Bacteria
Description: partial 16S ribosomal RNA
Rfam family: Bacterial small subunit ribosomal RNA
Source: RNAcentral
GACGAACGCUGGCGGCGUGCUUAACACAUGCAAGUCGAACGAAGUGGCGAACGGGUGAGUAACGCGUAAUCAACCUGCCCAUCAGAGGGGGAAAACAGUUGGAAAAGACUGAUAAUACCGCAUACUGAAGGAGGGGAUUGAGUCUGAUUAGCUAGUUGGAGGGGUAACGCCCCACCAAGGCGAUGAGCAGUAGCCGGUCUGAUAGUAUGACCGGCCACAUUGGGACUGAGACACGGCCCAGACGCCUACGGGAGGCAGCAGUGGGGAAUCUUCCGCAAUGGACGAAAGUCUGACGGAGCAACGCCGCGUGAGUGAUGACGGCCUUCGGGUUGUAAAGCUCUGUUAAUCGGGACGCGGUACCGGAAUAGAAAGCCACGGCUAACUACGUGCCAGCAGCCGAGGUAAUUC